GUCGGGUCAGCCACCAAGAUCGGCGUAGCCUC
RNAcentral lists this non-coding RNA (32 nucleotides) under Geobacter sulfurreducens KN400. Lineage: Bacteria; Pseudomonadati; Thermodesulfobacteriota; Desulfuromonadia; Geobacterales; Geobacteraceae. The record is from RNAcentral.